CGCGGGAUGAGCCCGAGCCCAMGUGCAGCUGCGGCUGCUCCCCGAGGAGGGGCGGGGCGGGGGCGCGGGGUCAAAAGGCGCGACGCGGGAGGCGGCGCUUCCUGGGCCUGAACUUGGCUGACCCCUGCAGCUUCCGCUCUGCCCGCCGCCCUCCGCACCCCCGGGAGGACCUGGCUUCUCCUUGCUCCUUCUAGAAUCUCUGGCUAAAUUCCUGGGAGCCACAGCUUGAAGAUGACCUCUCCGGGCCAGCCCGAGCCCAAGGGCGCCCUCGGAGGAGCUGGGGCUGCAGCUUCGAGUGAGCACCCAGCUGGAGAGCAUCAUCCACCUGCUCACUGAAGUCCAGCAGGAUCUUCAAGAACACCACAGGCAGGUGGAAGCCUUCCUCCAGGCGGUGGACGGCCAGCCCGUGGAGGUGGGUCUCAGGUCCUGCAGGAGGGAGGGACGGCUUGGGCUCAGGGGUGGCCCCGUCUCACGCCCCCAUACGUGUGGCCCCAGGUGGGCCGACUCUCCCCUGGGAAACGCGCCGGCCAGGGCCACCAGGAGGCCCUGAGCCCCAGCUCCCCCCAGCUCCCAGAGGGCGGGAGCCCACAGGAGUCGGACUUCGAAGACGUGGUCACGGGAAGGCAGUCCGACUGGCUGCGGCCGGCCCAGU
Molecule: long non-coding RNA, 652 nt
Filed under: Urocitellus parryii (Arctic ground squirrel)
Lineage: Eukaryota; Metazoa; Chordata; Mammalia; Rodentia; Sciuridae
Description: lncRNA (ENSUPAG00010008193.1)
Source: RNAcentral